This 1070-nucleotide long non-coding RNA is filed under the name Homo sapiens (human). Its description in RNAcentral is "non-protein coding lnc-EVI2A-3:2". Lineage: Eukaryota; Metazoa; Chordata; Mammalia; Primates; Hominidae. The record is from RNAcentral.
GACUCUGCGAGCACCGCUCCCGCCCGGUCAGGGGCAGGUCCCGCGCCCGCCGCCUGCGGGACCCGAACCGGCGUCUUGAGAAGCCCGGCCCUCCUCCCUCCUCUCUCGCCCCGCGCCCGCCGCGAGCGAUGCCCCGAGACCCAGCCCACGCCUAGAGCGGGCAGCGGCCUGGCGGUGGGGUCGAAAGCUACGGCACAGAGCCGUGCCUGAGUCGGAAAGAAGCCUCGGCGGAAGCGGAAGCGGAAGCGGAGAUGGCCGCAGCGGAGCGGGCAGGGGCCGUGUGUGACCCUGGCCGGGUCAUUUCCGUCGGGCCGGGCAGGGUCCGUGGGGGCUCGGGCGGGGUUGGUGGGGACCAGGGCGCAAGCCAAGAAGGGCGGCGCGGCCGGGGGCGGGGACUGGGACGGGGCCAGCGCUCCGAGGAAGACGCGGGGAGCCUGGGGCAUGGGGCCAGGCUCGGGGCGCCGGGAGGUGACCUUCCCUCGCUGGCCCUGCACGAAGCACGACCUUCCUCGGGUUCAGCUCGCUCCCCUUGCAGCCCCUGGCAAGGAGGACCCUGAGCAUCUGUGUAGCCUGGAUGACCUUGCCCCGGAGGAGCCGAGGUGGGCACGCUAGGAGAGGCCCCCAGGGAUGACAUGGCGACCCGAAUGGCAGAAUCAUGUGGUCUCUCAUACCGCGGAACAGUAGGUCACGAUGAAAAGGAACCAUGCGGAUUCAAAGGACUGAUUGUCAGCUUAGGCAGAGCCCAGAAACACACGUGAAAAUUUACUGGAAAAACAGAGAGGGAGCCUGGGACUGGGGAUGGGGGACAAAGGGGACUUUAACUUAAUUGGCAUUGUUUUGUUUCUAGUCUAUGGAAGAGGCAGAGGUGGGAACACGAGUGCCUAUUAGGAUACUGUAUACUUUUUUGGUAAAUCUUUUAUUUUCUUUAAAUUAAAUAAAGGGGGGAAUUAGGUCCCCCUGUUCUUGUUUGGCCUGUGGCCACAGCAUCUGUUCCAGGAGAGAGGUGAGUCUGCAUGGGUGGGGGAAGAGAAGCCCUUAUCUCAGGGCAGGGCUCAUGCUCGCUGGGGACA